UACGGAGGGUGCAAGCGUUGUCCGGAAUUACUGGGCGUAAAGGGCGCGUAGGCGGCUCAUGAAGGCUGUGGUGAAAGUCCGGGGCUCAACCUCGGAUCGGCCGUGGCGACUCGUGGGCUGGAGCACUGUAGAGGCGGGUGGAAUUCCGGGUGUAGCGGUGGAAUGCGUAGAGAUCCGGAAGAACACCAGUGGCGAAGGCGGCCCGCUGGGCAGUGGCUGACGCUGAGGCGCGACAGCGUGGGGAGCAAACAGG
This 253-nucleotide ribosomal RNA is filed under the name uncultured bacterium. Its description in RNAcentral is "partial 16S ribosomal RNA". It matches the Rfam family "Bacterial small subunit ribosomal RNA", at positions 524 to 776 of the family's 1533-position model. The record is from RNAcentral.